RNAcentral lists this transfer RNA (72 nucleotides) under Camelus bactrianus (Bactrian camel). It matches the Rfam family "tRNA". From Rfam's summary of the family: Transfer RNA (tRNA) molecules are approximately 80 nucleotides in length. Their secondary structure includes four short double-helical elements and three loops (D, anti-codon, and T loops). RNAcentral also lists the same sequence under 2 other names. Lineage: Eukaryota; Metazoa; Chordata; Mammalia; Artiodactyla; Camelidae. The record is from Rfam by way of RNAcentral.
GAGGAUAUAGCUCAGUGGUAGAGCACAUGCCUAGCAUGCAUGAGGUCCUGGGUUCAAUCCUUAGUACCUCCA